Andrographis paniculata is the source of this 407-nucleotide long non-coding RNA. RefSeq lists it as uncharacterized. Lineage: Eukaryota; Viridiplantae; Streptophyta; Magnoliopsida; Lamiales; Acanthaceae. The transcript is spliced from 2 exons. The record is from RefSeq and is a predicted model, not a curated record.
CGCUAGUCUCUCAUUAUUAUUAACUCUCUGUCUUCUCUCUCAAGCGGCCGGGUUGUUCCUUCUUUUAGUUCUUCUUUGCUAAUCAUCUUGGUAAGUAUCCCAAAAUGGAGUCUAAUGGAGACGUCAACGGAUCUCAUAAUGCUUCCACCACAGAAGAGUCGCGAUCAAGUGCUAAUUUGCCUUCACAAAACACAUUUUGGACAUCAUGCCGCGCGUGUAACAUACACUAUGAGUACUUUCGAGUUUAUUGUAAUAGAGUUCUGGAGUGCCCUAAUUGCAAACAACCAUUCAGGGCUUUAGAAAUCCAAGCUCCAAAUGUAAGGUUUCCCUCUUCAAGUUAUUUUCGACUCAAUUAAAUAAGGUCGAAAUUUUUUGCAUACAUAAAUAAUAGAAAGGAGUUUCUUCUC